RNAcentral lists this ribosomal RNA (253 nucleotides) under uncultured bacterium. Its description in RNAcentral is "partial 16S ribosomal RNA". It matches the Rfam family "Bacterial small subunit ribosomal RNA", at positions 524 to 776 of the family's 1533-position model. The record is from RNAcentral.
UACGAAGGGGACUAGCGUUGCUCGGAAUCACUGGGCGUAAAGCGCACGUAGGCGGAUUGCUAAGUCAGGGGUGAAAUCCUGGAGCUCAACUCCAGAACUGCCUUUGAUACUGGCGAUCUUGAGUCCGGGAGAGGUGAGUGGAACUGCGAGUGUAGAGGUGAAAUUCGUAGAUAUUCGCAAGAACACCAGUGGCGAAGGCGGCUCACUGGCCCGGUACUGACGCUGAGGUGCGAAAGCGUGGGGAGCAAACAGG